GAUGAAGAACGUAGCGAAAUGCGAUACGUAAUGUGAAUUGCAGAAUUCAGUGAAUCAUCGAAUCUUUGAACGCAUAUUGCGCUCUCUGGUAUUCCGGAGAGCAUGCUUGUUUGAGUAUCAGUAAACACCUCAACUUCCAUAUCUUUUUUGAAAUGGGAGUUGGACUUGAGUGAUCCCAACGCUUUUCCUCACCGAAAAGUGGCGGGUUACUUGAAAUGCAGGUGCAGCUGGACUUUUCUCUGAGCUAUAAGCAUAUCUAUUUAGUCUGCCUAAAAAACAGAUUAUUACCUUUGCUGCAGCUAACAUAAAGGAGAUUAGUUCUUGUGCUGACUGAUGCAGGAUUCACAAAGACAGGCUUCGGCCGACUUUGUAAACUCGAUCUCAAAUCAAGUAAGACUACCCGCUGAACUUAAGCAUAUCAAUACGCGGAGGA
RNAcentral lists this unclassified non-coding RNA (433 nucleotides) under soil metagenome. Its description in RNAcentral is "partial contains 5.8S ribosomal RNA, internal transcribed spacer 2, and large subunit ribosomal RNA". The stretch from base 1 to 120 matches the Rfam family "5.8S ribosomal RNA", at positions 35 to 154 of the family's 154-position model. The record is from RNAcentral.